CACGAAGUUAGCCGGGGCUUCUUCUCCGGUUACCGUCAUUAUCUUCACCGGUGAAAGAGCUUUACAACCCUAGGGCCUUCAUCACUCACGCGGCAUGGCUGGAUCAGGCUUGCGCCCAUUGUCCAAUAUUCCCCACUGCUGCCUCCCGUAGGAGUUUGGGCCGUGUCUCAGUCCCAAUGUGGCUGAUCAUCCCCUCAGACCAGCUAUGGAUCGUCGGCUUGGUAGGCCAUUACCCCACCAACUACCUAAUCCAACGCGGGCUCAUCCUUUGCCGAUAAAUCUUUCCCCCGAAGGGCACAUACGGUAUUAGCACAAGUUUCCCUGAGUUAUUCCGUAGCAAAAGGUAGAUUCCCACGCGUUACUCACCCGUCUGCCGCUCCCCUUGCGGGCGCUCGACUUGCAUGUGUUAAGCCUGCCGCCAGCGUUCGUUCUGAGCCAGGAUCAAACUCU
This 450-nucleotide ribosomal RNA is filed under the name uncultured Brucellaceae bacterium. Its description in RNAcentral is "partial 16S ribosomal RNA". The record is from RNAcentral. Lineage: Bacteria; Pseudomonadati; Pseudomonadota; Alphaproteobacteria; Hyphomicrobiales; Brucellaceae.